CCUACGGGGGGCAGCAGUGAGGAAUAUUGGUCAAUGGGCGCGAGCCUGAACCAGCCAAGUCGCGUGAGGGAAGACGGUCCUAUGGAUUGUAAACCUCUUUUGUCGGGGAGCAAAAGACGCCACGCGUGGCGUUCCGAGAGUACCCGAAGAAAAAGCAUCGGCUAACUCCGUGCCAGCAGCCGCGGUAAUACGGAGGAUGCGAGCGUUAUCCGGAUUUAUUGGGUUUAAGGGGUGCGCAGGCGGAAGAUAAAGUCAGCGGUAAAAUUUUGGGGCUAAACCUAUAAGAGCCGUUGAAACUGGUUUUCUUGAGUGAGGUAGAGGUAUGCGGAAUGCGUGGUGUAGCGGUGAAAUGCAUAGAUAUCACGAAGAACUCCGAUUGCGAAGGCAGCAUGCCGG
Molecule: ribosomal RNA, 396 nt
Filed under: uncultured bacterium
Lineage: Bacteria
Description: partial 16S ribosomal RNA
Rfam family: Bacterial small subunit ribosomal RNA
Source: RNAcentral